RNAcentral lists this ribosomal RNA (491 nucleotides) under uncultured bacterium. RNAcentral describes it as "partial 16S ribosomal RNA". It matches the Rfam family "Bacterial small subunit ribosomal RNA", at positions 28 to 507 of the family's 1533-position model. The record is from RNAcentral.
GAUGAACGCUAGCUACAGGCUUAACACAUGCAAGUCGAGGGGAAACGACAUUGAAGCUUGCUUCGAUGGUCGUCGACCGGCGCACGGGUGAGUAACGCGUAUCCAACCUGCCUCUGACCAAGGGAUAACCCGUCGAAAGUCGGCCUAAUACCUUAUGCAGUCGUCGGAAGUCAUCUGAUGACGACGAAAGAUUUCAUCGGUGAGAGAUGGGGAUGCGUCUGAUUAGCUUGUUGGCGGGGUAACGGCCCACCAAGGCAACGAUCAGUAGGGGUUCUGAGAGGAAGGUCCCCCACAUUGGAACUGAGACACGGUCCAAACUCCUACGGGAGGCAGCAGUGAGGAAUAUUGGUCAAUGGGCGAGAGCCUGAACCAGCCAAGUAGCGUGCAGGAUGACGGCCCUAUGGGUUGUAAACUGUUUUUAUGCGGGGAUAAAGUGAGGGACGUGUCCUUCAUUGCAGGUACCGCAUGAAUAAGGACCGGCUAAUUCCGUG